RNAcentral lists this transfer RNA (69 nucleotides) under Salmonella enterica subsp. enterica serovar Agona str. 0322. Its description in RNAcentral is "tRNA-Arg". It matches the Rfam family "tRNA". From Rfam's summary of the family: Transfer RNA (tRNA) molecules are approximately 80 nucleotides in length. Their secondary structure includes four short double-helical elements and three loops (D, anti-codon, and T loops). Further hydrogen bonds mediate the characteristic L-shaped molecular structure. tRNAs have two regions of fundamental functional importance: the anti-codon, which is responsible for specific mRNA codon recognition, and the 3' end, to which the tRNAs corresponding amino acid is attached (by aminoacyl-tRNA synthetases). tRNAs cope with the degeneracy of the genetic code in two manners: having more than one tRNA (with a specific anti-codon) for a particular amino acid; and 'wobble' base-pairing, i.e. permitting non-standard base-pairing at the 3rd anti-codon position. The record is from RNAcentral. Lineage: Bacteria; Pseudomonadati; Pseudomonadota; Gammaproteobacteria; Enterobacterales; Enterobacteriaceae.
GAUUAGCUCAGCUGGGAGAGCACUCCUACGAAGACGGGGUCGGCGGUUCGAUCCCGUCAUCACCCACCA